This 870-nucleotide ribosomal RNA is filed under the name uncultured eukaryote. Its description in RNAcentral is "SSU rRNA". It matches the Rfam family "Eukaryotic small subunit ribosomal RNA", at positions 571 to 1467 of the family's 1831-position model. The record is from RNAcentral.
CAGCCGCGGUAAUUCCAGCUCCAAUAGCGUAUAUUAAAGUUGUUGCAGUUAGAACGCUCGUAGUCGGAUUUCGGGGCGGGCCGACCGGUCUGCCGAUGGGUAUGCACUGGUCGGCGCGUCCUUCCUUCCGGAGACCGUUCCUACUCUUAACUGAGCGGGGGCGGGAGACGGAUCGUUUACUUUGAAAAAAUCAGAGUGUUUCAAGCAGGCAGCUCGCUCUUGCAUGGAUUAGCAUGGGAUAAUGAAAUAGGACUUUGGUGCUAUUUUGUUGGUUUCGAACACCGAAGUAAUGAUUAAAAGGGACAGUCAGGGGCACUCGUAUUCCGCCGAGAGAGGUGAAAUUCUCAGACCAGCGGAAGACGAACUACUGCGAAAGCAUUUGCCAGGGAUGUUUUCACUGAUCAAGAACGAAAGUUAGGGGAUCGAAGACGAUCAGAUACCGUCGUAGUCUUAACCAUAAACCAUGCCGACUAGGGAUUGGAGGAUGUUCUCUUUAUGACUCCUUCAGCACCUUACGGGAAACUAAAGUCUUUGGGUUCCGGGGGGAGUAUGGUCGCAAGGCUGAAACUUAAAGGAAUUGACGGAAGGGCACCACCAGGUGUGGAGCCUGCGGCUUAAUUUGACUCAACACGGGGAAACUUACCAGGUCCAGACAUUGUGAGGAUUGACAGAUUGAGAGCUCUUUCUUGAUUUAAUGGGUGGUGGUGCAUGGCCGUUCUUAGUUGGUGGAGUGAUUUGUCUGGUUAAUUCCGUUAACGAACGAGACCUUAGCCUGCUAAAUAGUGACGCGAACACUUCGUUCGCGGCCACUUCUUAGAGGGACAACUUGUCUUCAACAAGUGGAAGUUUGAGGCAAUAACAGGUCUGUGA